AUGUGGUUUUGUACCACUUCAAGGGAGCCUUUCAAAUACAUGAAGGGGAAAAUUCCAAAGUCACACAACAUUUCCCCCUCUUUGAAAAUUACUUAUACUCUGCAAGGAUGUAGAUACAGAGCAAGAUCGGAUGCUAGAGCUACUGACAGUUCCCUUCUUGAUCAACCCCAGGUUCCUUCUGUCUCAAUGGAUUGUUUUUAAAGCAUGUAGA
Molecule: long non-coding RNA, 211 nt
Filed under: Capra hircus (goat)
Lineage: Eukaryota; Metazoa; Chordata; Mammalia; Artiodactyla; Bovidae
Description: lncRNA (ENSCHIG00000001155.1)
Source: RNAcentral